RNAcentral lists this unclassified non-coding RNA (33 nucleotides) under 'Macrosteles sp.' phytoplasma. Its description in RNAcentral is "partial 16S-23S ribosomal RNA intergenic spacer". Lineage: Bacteria; Bacillati; Mycoplasmatota; Mollicutes; Acholeplasmatales; Acholeplasmataceae. The record is from RNAcentral.
AGGAAACAAUUAUCAUCUUCAGUUUUGACAGAC